CUGGAAUGUUCCAGCUGUGUUGGCGAGGGCGGGCAGCCAGACUCCUGGUGGGCAUUUCCUCAGUGAUCCCAGCUCCCACUGCUCUCCCACAGUGCCUUACUUGAUGUAUCAGCCCACCUCCAAACCUACAGCAAACGUCCUCUCAGAGGAGCGCUGGGAUCUGGCACUGCUGACAGAUCCUUGCCCCUUUAAAAGAGAUGAAGUCAUCUGCCUCCGAAGCCAUCUGGCACCAGGACAGAGUCAGAAGCUCAGUGCAACAGAAGGCUGGGAUGCCAGCCCGCAGAGGGGAUGUCAUCGCUCUACAGACAGAUGGGACCCUGAUGGGAUGGGGCGAGAUGCUGCUCAAGACCCCAGGAGAAGGUUUGGUGUCGUGGGGAAGGCAGUGAGGACUGGCAGAGUACCAAGGUGUGCCGUGGCCCCACUGCCACCAUGCAUGUGAGCAGAGCCCCACUGGAGGGCUGGAGCUGCUGGUUUUCCUGGGAGGACAGUGGGCUGUACCAGGCCCUCGCCGUGGGGUGAGCUGGCAGUCAGCGUGUCUCCUCCUCCCCCUCCAUCCGUCCGUGCAGAGCAGGCAUGAGCUCAUCCCGAGCCACUGGUCCUGCACCCUGUGCCGGAUGGCUGAUCUCAUGGAUGGCUGAUCUCAUGGAUGGCUGAUCUCAUCGCUGGCCGUGCCACCAGGACUGACUCCGGAGCGGCGUGUCACCGCAGUCCCCGACAGGACACCGUGGGAAGAGGAGCCACCAUGUCCCAGCAAGGCUUGGGGAGAUGAUCUCAAGCAAAACUGCCCACCAGUGACAGUGGUGGGUGGUGGGGGACGAGGUGAAUUCCUUGCUGGCAUGCCCAGGGAACAGCCUCUCACUUCCAGGUCUGGCAGGAGGCUUCUGUCUCAGUAUUGCUGGCCGUUCCCAGAUGCCUCGGGUAUCACAGACUCCUCAACACUCCUGGUGUGACUAGCUCAGGAGCUGCCUCCCUUCACAGGACUUUGCUUGGUCAUGCUCUUGUGCACCAGGAAUGUCUUUCUGAAGUUGCUGUACUGGACCCCAUUCUCCCCACCAUGCGCUGCAAGACCUGGGGGCUUCUAGCCAAGGCAGGGGUCCAGUAAGUGCCUCCUCCUGGCCCAGUUUUGCAGGAAGGAGCUGGGGCUGUGAUGGGUGGAUUAACACAGAUGUGCUUUUCCACCACCCCGGCUGAAAACCCAAACUUCAGCUUGAUGUUCAUGGAAGAGAUUGGUGGGGGUGGCAGUGAAUAAUAGAGGAGGGGACAACGUGGGAAUUGCUUGGGAUUUUCUGGGAGGUGGGGAUAGAGGACAGUGAGUUAAUUUAUCUGAAGGGUAGAGCAAGGAUGAGAAGUUAAAUUACAACUCCAUAGUUCAGGUGUCUGUCCAGGGAGAAUGAGCCAUUCUCAGGAGAUGAGUCUCUCCCCUCACUGAUGCCACACAACCAGCUUGGACUGGAUGUUUAACUUUUAGUCCAGUGCUCUGGAUCGUGUGCUGGGAUUGCACGGACACUGCGAGAUCAGGCACAGGCAGAGCAGGGUCUGCCCACACUCUUGCUUCACUCAGAUGUCUCUGGUUUACCUGGCUUGAGCAGAAACUCUUUCAAAGUGGAGAUUAACUUUGAAGUAGGGAAAUUUGUUCUGGUCUGGCCUGAAAAAUCCUGGACCCCCAACUCUUUUCCCUAGGAAAGACCACUCCUCUCCUGCUUUGUCUUGCUUUGGGAAAAAAGUUCUGUUCUACUCCAGCUCAAAUCUUUUGUACUCUCUCCUUUGCAUUGCAGUCUGUAAAUGUUUGUCUGUUAAUUUGUUAACCCCCAGACCCAGACUGCCAUGCUUCCCUCUCAGAUCCUUGCUCUCUUACUUCUCCUUUGCCUUGGUGCUUAGGCCUGACACCCAGUCUUGCCUGGCAGAGAAACCAGCCUGGAAGUUCCUUGCUCCAAGGGCAUUAUAAAGAGGCGCCAUUGUGCAACGGAGCCGUGUACCAGGAAUACAAUCCAUGUGAUGAUUAUCUCGAUACCAUCCUCACUGAACCAGGGCAGCCUGAGCCAAAAGAGGAAUUUAGAGCUAAACAGCUUUUGUUUACAGGAAGCCAGAGCACAGUGUCUGGGCUUGUACCAGUGUAGCAGGAGAUGUAGCUACUGUCUCAGACUGCAAACUAUUGAUGGAUGGUGUGUCCCUGAGAUUUCCCAGGGAUGUUAUGGGAGCAAUCUCCCUAAUUUCUGAAGCAUCUAGUCCAGGAGCCCGAGGGGAAAAGUGUUUCCUUUGGCUGACUGGACAACCAAGGAAAGGUCAUCAGCUUUAUUGACUGCUGUGUUUGGCCAUGCUCACCCACAGGCGUUGCAACCUCUGCAGCAGUCUGUGCCUUGGGAUGGGAAAAGCCUGGGUCUCAGGUGUGUUGUAAAGGGCAGUGGCCACCAAGGGACACAGUACCAGUAGCCCAAACCUCCAUGAAUUUGUGCUACUGAACAAAUCCACUGUCCAAAAUCCCACUGAUUUUGCACAGGCUAGCAAAAGAGAGGAGACAAACGUCUCUCCCAAUACUCAAGCUACUUUUCAGGGGACACUAUUGUUUUCCUUCUGGGUUUGCAAAACCACAGUCCUACAGGAAAAAAAAAGCUGGUGGACUGCUCUGCAGAAAGAGGAAAAGAGCCUCAUCUCCAAGGCUUGUCCUGCUCAGGACAAGGAAACAAACAAUUGAGAGAGAAAAUCAAAAUGUCUAACUGCUCUCCAGAUGUGAGGGAGGGCUUGCCCACAUCUGGCAGGGAGUGUUUCACAAUGGGAACAGCUUUCCUCAGCCCUCGGCACACGGCUGGGGGUGGCUCUUGUACCCACAAACAGGAUGGUCCAGUUCCUGUGGAGGCACAAGAUCUGUUUGGGCAGUUCCAUGAGUCAGAGAACAUUUACCAAGACCUUUUUGUGUCAGGAAAUGUAUUUUGAUGAAAAAAGGAAGACAUUUAAAAUAAAUUGAAAUAAUAAUAAUAAAAAAAAAGGAGU
RNAcentral lists this long non-coding RNA (2988 nucleotides) under Cyanistes caeruleus (blue tit). RNAcentral describes it as "lncRNA (ENSCCEG00000008051.1)". Lineage: Eukaryota; Metazoa; Chordata; Aves; Passeriformes; Paridae. The record is from RNAcentral.